Molecule: ribosomal RNA, 162 nt
Filed under: Escherichia coli
Lineage: Bacteria; Pseudomonadati; Pseudomonadota; Gammaproteobacteria; Enterobacterales; Enterobacteriaceae
Also listed under: 1 other name
Description: partial 16S ribosomal RNA
Rfam family: Bacterial small subunit ribosomal RNA
Source: RNAcentral
AAAUUGAAGAGUUUGAUCAUGGCUCAGAUUGAACGCUGGCGGCAGGCCUAACACAUGCAAGUCGAACGGUAACAGGAAGCAGCUUGCUGCUUUGCUGACGAGUGGCGGACGGGUGAGUAAUGUCUGGGAAACUGCCCGAUGGAGGGGGAUAACUACUGGAAA